GAGUGCACCGCGCGUCGUCUCGUCCAGAAACCCCACCACAAAGCCAUUAUGGCAUUAAAAUUCACGAUUCCUGUGCCUAAUUUAACGUUUAAAAAGAGAAAAAGCAAAAAAAAUACGUUUCACGAAAAUAGGAUUUCAGUUUUCGAAUGUUCUCCUUUGUCCGCCGCCAUUUUGGAUCCGCGAUUUCGAGACUGCAAGAUAAAAGCGACUAUUAGAAGACAACAACGACGUCUGAGGGAGCAAUGAUAAUUUUCUAAAAAUUGGAGAACAAGUG
Achroia grisella is the source of this 274-nucleotide long non-coding RNA. RefSeq lists it as uncharacterized. The transcript has 3 exons. NCBI's taxonomy places the organism in Eukaryota, Metazoa, Arthropoda, Insecta, Lepidoptera, Pyralidae. The record is from RefSeq and is a predicted model, not a curated record.